UACGUAGGGUGCAAGCGUUGUCCGGAAUUAUUGGGCGUAAAGAGCUCGUAGGCGGUUUGUCGCGUCUGCUGUGAAAACCCGCAGCUCAACUGUGGGCUUGCAGCUGAUACGGGCAGGCUUGAGUUCGGUAGGGGAGACUGGAAUUCCUGGUGUAGCGGUGAAAUGCGCAGAUAUCAGGAGGAACACCGGUGGUGUAAACGGCUUUCUGGACCAUAACUGACGCUGAGGCACGAAAGCGUGGGUAGCAAACAGG
Molecule: ribosomal RNA, 253 nt
Filed under: uncultured bacterium
Lineage: Bacteria
Description: partial 16S ribosomal RNA
Rfam family: Bacterial small subunit ribosomal RNA
Source: RNAcentral